AGUAACAAUCUACUUGUCUCUUGGACUCGGUACAGGCUUUGUGUUUUGCGGUGCGUCUGACAGGCCCUGCCUGCCCUGCAAGCUCUGACUAGUGUGUCAAAGCCAAGUAUGUAUAAGAGCCAUGGCAGAACGCUGGCUGCUUGCCCACAGUGGCUGCAGCCUGAGAGCUUUUCCAUAACAAGAGAGGAGGAGGAGGGAAGGGAAGUGUGGGAGUCAACAACGAUGGUGUGAACUACAGUGUUGUGCUCUCAAAGUCAACUGAUAAGUGGACCUCCAAUCCCAACUGUUCCAAGUGAUGCUUUUCUCAGAGUUUUUCGGAGUUCUCUACCAGCUUCUGUCUGAGGAAGGAGGUACAGUACUGUAUAAGCUGCGGAUUUUAAGUGAUUGGACCAAUAUGUGCAGAAAAAUAUAGUGACAUAAAUAUAAAUAUAUAAAUAUAAUAUAUGAUAUAAAGACCAAGAAAACUGUCAACUGAAGCAACAAAAACUCUACCAUUGACAUUUCUUAGAAAAAUGUCAUCUUUCAGCAUUUACAGGAGACACAGGAUCACAGCAGCACAUAUAAAAAUCUGGUUACAUUAGUGCUGAAUUCAUUGCAUCAAAGCCCAGACUUUAUGUGAUCUCAGAGUGUUUAUCUCCAUUUCAAGUUGUGUGAAACCGACUUCCUUCAGCCCUGCCCUUCCACAGCGACCCAGGGGACAUGCCCACUCAGAGGGCGUGCUUUUUUCCUUGGAUGUUGUUUUACCCUUUGCUGAUUUCCAUCAAACAGUCCCUGAUAGCAGUGAGGCCCCAACCUGACGGAGACUGUGGCUGUAAUUCAGGUGGAAGGGUUAAAAUCCAGUGCCAGUGACUCAAGCAGAAGAGAGACUCUGGGGCCUUGAUAACUUAAUUGUCCAGCCAGGAUAAACACAACAACUGAAUGAUUGACGAUUGAUUAGAUGCAACAAGAGGCCUAAAUAAAAUGCAAGCAUCAAGAACUACAAAGCAGG
Long non-coding RNA from Micropterus dolomieu (smallmouth bass), 988 nucleotides. RefSeq lists it as uncharacterized. The record is from RefSeq and is a predicted model, not a curated record. NCBI's taxonomy places the organism in Eukaryota, Metazoa, Chordata, Actinopteri, Centrarchiformes, Centrarchidae. The transcript has 3 exons.